CUUUGCUGCCUCGCCUUCAUCUGCCACAGAAACAUGUCAAGAUAAAUCUUAACACAAUCUCUUUUCUUUUCUUUGUGACUUUCUAUCCUUGACAUUAGGGUCAAGAUGUUUUUCUUUUAAAACAACUGGCAAUUCUCUGCCCUUUUGUUCUGUUUGGAUCUGAGCACCCUGUCAUUUCUCUGCGGUCCCCAGUUUUAUUUUUGCUCUGGCAUCACUGGAAAUGAUGGCGUCUCACUUAGUGAUGUUUGCUAUGAAGAUCUCAUGAGCCACUUUAUCCUUCUCCCAGCCAACUGCGGAAGAAACUCAAAUUCCUCUGACAUUGCUGCAUCUGGGCGGAUCCUUGCAGCGGUUGAGCAUAUGGUGGAACAAACCCUAGACUCUGAACCAUGGGACUUAAACUCCGGUCCUUCCUCGGCCAUUGGGAAGGUAGAACUUGGGUGCUGGGGUUCUAUUUUGCACACUGGUGAACCAGAAGUGACCCAAAUCAUCUGAAGGUCCUUAAUUCCAUGAAUAAAACUAUAUUCAGAAGGUGAUUAUCGUGUAAAGGAGAGGUGCAUUAUCUUUGGGGAACAAGUGACCAUGGAAACAGUGAGUGCAGGAAAUAGUAGAGCUUUGCAUUUGGGUCCUUCAGGAGGCUUUGCAGUGGAAUCACCCUGCAGCUCGGAAAAGUGGGAGCAACGUGCUGUGAUGCCACCUCUUGGCUAAUGAAUGUGGACUGUGAGGUGACAGAGGGAACCCUGAUCAUCUGACACUGACUCUUGGUACAGAACCACUGUGGAAGUCAUCCAGGAGAAAAGCAAACAACUAGUGUGCUGUAUGGUGAAGAUUUUCUGUGUUUAGUGACCGAACUCUUAUUGCCUUUGGAGAAUGAAAUCCACACUUUUUGCUUUUUGGAGUGGUUGACUUGAAUGAUAAUCAACAUGGGGGAGAGAUGGGAUUACUUUCUAAAUGGAGUAAGGGGUAAGCAAGGGUAAGCAUCUUGGACAAAAUGGCGGCAAGUAUGAAAUGACAAAAGCGCUUGUCUCCAGCAUCUGGCUAAGCAGUCUUUUGCCAAGACCCUCACCUUUGGCCUGGAUAGAGGCUCUCUAGCUGGGUCAGAGCAAAGAGCAGCAUCCUGACCAUUCAUUCCAUGGUCUCCUGGCUGACCAAGGGGGGCCAAUUAGGUCCUAUUGUGAUAGAAGUGGGAGGGAAAGUUUCCUCCAUUCCGAUGACCCUUGGAGUGACUCCAUCAGUCUUAAAGGCCAUAGGGGUGGAGGAUGGGGCGCUAUUCUCUACCUCAUUGGGCCAUAGCCAGCCCUGUGUGAGUAAUUGGUUCUGUUCCUUAGCCUGAGGUCCUUCAGAUCUAUGGGAUUGACACUGCCUUCGUGCCUCCCCCAAACAGAAAUUUGCUCAGUUUGUCAUUUCAGAAGAUGGCUGUUUGGGGAUGGGAGGAAGAAAAAUAAAAUAUAAACACUA
This 1455-nucleotide long non-coding RNA is filed under the name Equus caballus (horse). RNAcentral's name for it is "lncRNA (ENSECAG00000044406.1)". Lineage: Eukaryota; Metazoa; Chordata; Mammalia; Perissodactyla; Equidae. The record is from RNAcentral.